RNAcentral lists this long non-coding RNA (1179 nucleotides) under Homo sapiens (human). RNAcentral's name for it is "lung cancer associated transcript 1". Lineage: Eukaryota; Metazoa; Chordata; Mammalia; Primates; Hominidae. The record is from RNAcentral.
AAUCAACACUCCACUCAGACAAUGCCCAGACCUCCAGAAACCAUGUGUCAAGCUCGGAUUGCCUUAGACAGGUGCAAUUUAAGAACAGCUUUCAUCCUCUUUUCUCUCAUAUUGUCACACUAUGUGUUCUGACUUCUGGCUCCUUUCCUCACAAGAAGCUCACCCAGCUGGAACUCUUAUGGGACCUUGGCACCAGAGACCACAAAUUCCUCUUUGAAGUUUUCUAACAGCAACAAUGAGUUUCGCUCUGUCGCCCAGGCUGGAGUGCAGUGGCGCGCGAUCUCGGUUCACUGCAAGCUCCACCUCCCGGGUUCACGCCAUUCUCCUGCCUCAGCCUCCUGAGUAGCUGGGACUACAGGCGCCCGCCACCACACCCAGGAAUCCAACUUGCUGUUUGCUAUCACAUGUGCUAUACAUGCUGUUGAUGAAACUGCUAAAGGGGCUGAAUGUGACUGACGUCUUUGGAAGGAUGAGACUUAGCGUGCCUGUACAGUUGUGUCCAAAUGCUGUCCUCAUCUCCCAAUGAAAAGCUGAACUAGGGCCAUGCCUGGGACAGACAGAGAAUGGCCUUCCAGCAGACAUGCCAAGAAGCAAGCCAGGGUCAGUGAGUGAAGAGGAGGGCAGGCCCAUUUGAAGCAACACAGUUUAUGAACAAAACCCAUCAGAAGAUGUCAGAAGAUAAGGAUUUUUGUCCUGAUGCUACACUUACCAGCUGUCCCUCAGUGUUCUACUUCUUAAAAAAAGAGAGAUGGAUAAACAGAGGCAACCCGAGGAUAAAGGCCUUGCUCAGUGUCACACAUUUCAGUCACUAAAUAAGACACAAUGGAUGCCAGUAUUCUCAUCCCCUCACAAAUAAAGAGCCUUCAAGCUCUUGCAGUCAACAAGAACUUUUGGAAUGAUUUCACUGCCUGAAAAGGCAGAUACAUAGGUGACACCCACAAAUAGGAAGAAAAUCAACCUGAACCUGAGUGUGUGGGCUCACUGACUCUAAGCAGUAGAGACAGAAGAAAAAGUUUUAGCAAAGAAGGGUUCUGAAAGAAAAUAAAUAUAGCUCGUUAUCAAGUGCUGUUUUUACACAGUAAAACAUGGGCAAAAUUACUCUUCUUUAAGUAGUAAUUCUUAUCUCUUGAUUAAGUCACCUACUCAUUCAUUUAAUAAAUACAUACUGAUUGUUUUCUA